This 253-nucleotide ribosomal RNA is filed under the name uncultured bacterium. RNAcentral describes it as "partial 16S ribosomal RNA". It matches the Rfam family "Bacterial small subunit ribosomal RNA", at positions 524 to 776 of the family's 1533-position model. The record is from RNAcentral.
UACGGAGGGUGCGAGCGUUAAUCGGAAUAACUGGGCGUAAAGGGCACGCAGGCGGCAUUUUAAGUGAGGUGUGAAAUCCCCGGGCUUAACCUGGGAAUAGCAUUUGAAACUGAGAGUCUAGAGUACUUUAGGGGGAGGUAGAAUUCCACGUGUAGCGGUGAAAUGCGUAGAGAUGUGGAGGAAUACCGUAGGCGAAGGCAGCCCCUUGGGAAUGUACUGACGCUCAUGUGCGAAAGCGUGGGGAGCAAACAGG